UGGUUGUGAGCCCGGGACUCUUCCCAUUUGUGAACCACAGACCAUCAGGGCAAAGAGGCCACUGAGUCAUAGGCAGGAAUGAUGAAUGGAUGGAAAUUGGCAUGGAUGAUGUGUGGUCGCUCCCCAGGGCCUGUGUGCAUCUGUAGGCUUUGGUGUGAAUGAGAGAACGGUAAGAGAGUCGCAUUGUUUAGGUGCUGGCCCAUCUUGAUAAAUUUCCCUGACUGUGAUUCCAGCACUGGGAGAGUAAGGCAGGAGAAACAGAAGCCCAAGACCAGCCUCUGCUACAUACUGUCAGGCUAGCCUGGGCUACAAGAGACCUUGUCUCAACCAACCAACAAAACAGUGACAAUAGUGGUUCAGGCAGAGCCCAGGAAAUCUCCACUGCCUGCCCGCCCUCUUCCCAGCUCUGUGAUUGGGGCCAGCUGCUGCAAAGCCUUCAGGUGCCUAUGGAAUCCAGAAGAGGGUGUUGGACUCCCUGGAGCUGGAGUCACUGUGCCCUUAACCAUGAGCCACCUCUGCAGGCCCAACGACUUUUGCCACGCCAUUGCCGCUGAACCAGCUGCUGUUGCCUGAUGCCACGCUGAGGUGGCUAUAGGGUGGCUACGCAGGAGCCAGGCUUGGAGGUGCCCUCCCCCAGGCGGGAGCUGGGUGGGGUGAGGGGGUGCUUGAGUGGUCCCGCCGGACCCUAGCUAGGCCUGGAGGCCAACCAACAGUGAGGCCAUUUAAGGCGGUCACCGUAGGUCUUGUGCCGCCACCUUGUGGUCAAAGCUUGUGUUUCCUCUCUAAGCCCCUGGCGGAAGCCAGAUUUUUUCUGACCUGGCAAUGUGGGGUUGACACUCUUACCCACUGUGUCUGUGGACCUAAAAGUCUUCUGCAGAGGACACUGGAAGGUGGCGAUAUGUGGGGCACACAACUUGAGGAAGCUGUCCUCCUCCGCUUCUUCUCUCUCCCCUUUCUCCUCAUGGGGCGAGCCUUCCUUCAGAGGAAGCUGAGGCACACCUGGUCUCUGAGCCUGUGGAGGGGAUCAGGACUCCAGGCUCCUUGUCCCUUCCUCCCCCAAACCAGGAAACAAGAGGGGACAGUUCCCAUAAGGACAAGAGGGAGAGCUUCCCCCGUGGCAAGCCGGAGGCCCUGGGACCCGCCCCACUGACCUUGGUCAUGGCUGACUUGUGCAGGUGCUUGUACAAGCCAAGGAGAUAGUUCCACGGGGUGGACCCCGCCUUGCAAGAGGCCAAUCUGAGGUCUCCUGUGAAGUAUCGGUCAUUGAGGCCGGCAGCAGGUUGGGGAAUGCCAGUCUCGGGGGGUGGCACUCAGAAUGGGGUUACCCUCUCUUCUGAUUUGUUUUUUACAUUUAAUUACGUUUUUCAAAAUUACAUUUUUAUGUCUUUAUCCUGGGGCGGGGGGAGGCACAUACCAUGGCAAGUGUACAAGGGGCCUGAGGACAGCUUGUAUGAAUCUGCUCUCACCUUGUGAGUCCCGGGAACCAAACUCGGGUCCUCAAGCUUGGCCGCAGUCUCCUCUACCUACAGACCCCUCUCACUGUCCCCUCCUCAUAUCGCUUCUUGUGGAUUUGUUUUGUUCUCUGUUCCUGAGAUGGCAACUCAUGAAGCCCAGCCUCAAACUCUGCUAUGUAGCUAAGGCUGGCCUUGAACUCCUGACCUCCCUGACUCUGCCCCCUGGGGUUCCAACUGUGGGCCACUAUGCCUAGCUUUGUUGUUGCUUCUCCUGUUGAGAGAGGUACGUCGCUAUGAAGCUGGGCAGACCUUGAACUUGGGGCAGUUCUCUUGCCUCCAAGUGCGGGACGGAAUGAGUCUGUUCUGUUAACGUAAUGCCCACUGGGCACCAGGCCCGGUCAGACACUGCACCUGGCUCUGCCCUGUUUUACUGAACACCUACUGUGUGCAGGGCCUGGAUCUAGCCCUUGACAAAGAGCAUCUCACUGAUGCUUGCAAUGUGCCUCAGAGACAGGUGCUAUUUGAUUUCCAUUUUACAGAUGAGGAAUGUGAGACAGAGGGAUUUGGCGUGGAGGAAGUGGGGUUCAGAUGCUGUGUCUCACACCCUGCUGGGCUCCCCAUCCUAGAGCAGAGGUGUCCAUUUCUGCCCCCCCCCCAGCCACCACCACUGCAGCCAGCUAUACUUACCAAUCUCAAUUAGGCAGUGCUCCUCCUCUUCCUCUUUGACGAAGCCCUCAGGGGUGAGGGCCAGUGGUCCUGGGACGCACUGCAGGGAUCCUUGUUCUGCCUCCAGGGCCUGGGUAAAGUGUUCCCUAAUCCCAAAGCAGUCAGGUCAAGUCAGGGGACACCCGGAGACAUGGCCAAGCCCAGUCCACCUUGGGUCUCUCCACAGACUUGCUUGGCCUGCCCUCCUCUCUUCCAGUCCCCUGCUCUGCUCCUGGGGGUCUCUAUCAGAGGGGUUUUCCUACCACUGAGGGAGGUAGGAAGUGGGGAUCUGGGUACCUUCCACACAGGGAGAGAAAGCCAGAAAGGGAGAGUAAGCGGGCAGGCUGGAAGCGUGGCCUCCAAGGGAGCUGAGAACAGAGGCACCAGCUCCAGCACGCAUGCCCAGCGCCGGGUACAACCCCUGUCAUCUCUCUUAUUAUUUGUUGUUUUACUUAGUUUUUCAAGACAGGGUGUCCCUGUGUAGUCCUGGCUGUGCUAGAACUCGCUCUGUAGACCAGGCUGGCUUCAAACUCAGAGAUCCGCCUGCCUCUGUCUCCCUUGUGUUGGGAUUAAAGUGUGCCACCCUGCCUGGGUAUUUUUGCUUUGUUGUGCUGAGGACUAAUCCCCGGGCCUGAAGUAUGCAGUGCUCUACCUAUGAGACACACCCCAGCUCCCUCUUUCAUCUUUGGUGCUCUCAACCCACACUCCAACCAUCCUCACAAGCCAUCAUCCGCCGAUCCCUCCUUCCUUCCGUGGGCACUACCCCUCAGUUGUGACUUCUAUCCACUUGUCGGGACCCUCCCUCCAGCCCUUCCCCCACAGCUUCCACCGGUGGGCCUCCAGCCUGCACCCUGCUCUAUCUGGAUCAUACCUCCCCUCCCAGUAACGGCCCCUCACCUGUCUGAGUCCCCCGAGGCCCCCGAGGCCUCCCCUGCUGGCUCUUCCUCCUUUCCUUUCUUCUCAGACAGGUGACCCAGAACCUCCUUGGUCUCUCUGGUGGGGACCGAUGACACCUCUGCACCCUGGGACCUCAGCUUCAGGGCGUCCUUGGAGGUUUCGGAGAAAGCGCAUCAUGGAGGAGCAGCCCAAGAUUCGCGACCUUGACCGAGGGGUCCGAGCCUGGGCCGCCAUCCUGAGAGGGACCCUGACUCAGGAAGAAGUCAUGGCAGCCAGCCCAGGACCAACUGCUAAUAG
This is a non-coding RNA of Cricetulus griseus (Chinese hamster), 3353 nucleotides long. NCBI's taxonomy places the organism in Eukaryota, Metazoa, Chordata, Mammalia, Rodentia, Cricetidae. The record is from RefSeq and is a predicted model, not a curated record.